This 423-nucleotide ribosomal RNA is filed under the name uncultured bacterium. RNAcentral describes it as "bacterial SSU rRNA". It matches the Rfam family "Bacterial small subunit ribosomal RNA", at positions 355 to 775 of the family's 1533-position model. The record is from RNAcentral.
UGAGGAAUAUUGGUCAAUGGGCGGAAGCUUGAACCAGCCAUCCCGCGUGCAGGAAGACAGCCCUAUGGGUUGUAAACUGCUUUUCCAGUGGGCGAAACACUCGUACGUGUACGAGAUUGACGGUACACUGGGAAUAAGCAUCGGCUAACUCCGUGCCAGCAGCCGCGGUAAUACGGAGGAUGCAAGCGUUAUCCGGAUUUAUUGGGUUUAAAGGGUGCGUAGGCGGAUGAAUAAGUCAGUGGUGAAAGGCUACAGCUUAACUGUAGACUUGCCGUUGAUACUGUUUAUCUCGAGUAUGGUCAAGGCAGGCGGAAUGUGUAAUGUAGCGGUGAAAUGCUUAGAUAUUACACAGAACACCGAUUGCGAAGGCAGCUUGCUGGGCCAUUACUGACGCUGAUGCACGAAAGCGUGGGGAGCGAACAG